Molecule: ribosomal RNA, 43 nt
Filed under: Phyllachora miscanthi
Lineage: Eukaryota; Fungi; Ascomycota; Sordariomycetes; Phyllachorales; Phyllachoraceae
Description: partial 28S ribosomal RNA
Source: RNAcentral
UAACCUCGGAUCAGGUAGGAAUACCCGCUGAACUUAAGCUAUC